Molecule: ribosomal RNA, 305 nt
Filed under: uncultured bacterium
Lineage: Bacteria
Description: partial 16S ribosomal RNA
Rfam family: Bacterial small subunit ribosomal RNA
Source: RNAcentral
ACAGCAGUCGCCGCGGUAAUACCGAGGGUGCGAGCGUUAAUCGGAUUUACUGGGCGUAAAGCGUGCGUAGGCGGCUUCUUAAGUCGGAUGUGAAAUCCCUGAGCUUAACUUAGGAAUUGCAUUCGAUACUGGGAAGCUAGAGUAUGGGAGAGGAUGGUAGAAUUCCAGGUGUAGCGGUGAAAUGCGUAGAGAUCUGGAGGAAUACCGAUGGCGAAGGCAGCCAUCUGGCCUAAUACUGACGCUGAGGUACGAAAGCAUGGGGAGCAAACAGGAUUAGAUACCCCGGUAGUCCCUGUCUCUUAUAC